This 1556-nucleotide ribosomal RNA is filed under the name bacterium DOLZORAL124_64_63. RNAcentral's name for it is "bacterial SSU rRNA". It matches the Rfam family "Bacterial small subunit ribosomal RNA". The record is from RNAcentral.
GGAGAGUUUGAUCCUGGCUCAGAACGAACACUGGCGGCGUGGAUUAGGCAUGCAAGUCGAACGAGAAAGUUUCCUUCGGGAAGCGAGUACAGUGGCGAACGGGUGAGUAACGGGUGGAAAACCUGCCCUUCAAUGGGGGAUAACAGUCCUAACGGGCUGCUAAUACCGCAUACGAUGUUUUUACCGCAUGGUAGAAAUAUGAAAGAUGGCCUCUCUUUGAAGCUGUCGUUGAAGGAUGGUUCCGCCUCCAAUUAGCUAGUUGGUGGGGUAAUGGCCUACCAAGGCGACGAUUGGUAGCCGGCCUGAGAGGGUGUCCGGCCACACUGGGACUGAGAUACGGCCCAGACUCCUACGGGAGGCAGCAGUCGAGAAGCUUCCGCAAUGGGCGAAAGCCUGACGGAGCGACGCCGCGUGAACGAAGAAGGUCCUAUGGAUUGUAAAGUUCUGUCAGAUUGGGAAGAAAGCUGUGCGGUUAAUACCCGUAUGGUUUGACGGUACCAUCAGAGGAAGCACCGGCUAACUCCGUGCCAGCAGCCGCGGUAAUACGGAGGGUGCAAGCGUUGUUCGGAUUCACUGGGUAUAAAGGGUGCGCAGGCGGCCUGGUAAGUCAGGGGUGAAAUAUGACGGCUUAACCGUCAAACUGCCCCUGAAACUGUCAGGCUUGAGUCCGGAAGAGGUAGGUGGAAUUCCUGGUGUAGCGGUGAAAUGCGUAAAUAUCAGGAGGAACACCGGUGGCGAAGGCGGCCUACUGGUCCGGAACUGACGCUCAGGCACGAAAGCAUGGGGAGCGAACGGGAUUAGAUACCCCGGUAGUCCAUGCCGUAAACGAUGGGUACUAGGUGUUGGAGGAUUCUACCCCUUCAGUGCCGCAGCUAACGCAUUAAGUACCCCACCUGGGGAGUACGAUCGCAAGGUUGAAACUCAAAGGAAUUGACGGGGGCCCGCACAAGCGGUGGAGCAUGUGGUUUAAUUCGAUGCAACGCGAAGAACCUUACCUAGGCUUGACAUGCAGGGGACAGGUGUAGAAAUACACCCUUCUUCGGACUCUUGUACAGGUGCUGCAUGGCUGUCGUCAGCUCGUGUCGUGAAAUGUUAGGUUAAGUCCUGCAACGAGCGCAACCCCUAUCUUUAGUUGCCAUCAGGUUAUGCUGGGGACUCUAGAGAGACUGCCGGUGACAAACCGGAGGAAGGUGGGGACGACGUCAAGUCAUCAUGGCCCUUACGCCUAGGGCUACACACGUGCUACAAUGGUCGGUACAAUGGGCUGCAAUACUGUGAAGUGGAGCGAAUCCCAAAAAGCCGGCCUCAGUUCGGAUCGUAGUCUGCAACUCGACUACGUGAAGUUGGAAUCGCUAGUAAUCGCGUAUCAGAACGACGCGGUGAAUACGUUCCCGGGCCUUGUACACACCGCCCGUCAAGUCAACCGAGUUGGUUGCACCCCAAGUCGCUGAGCUAACCCGCAAGGGAGGCAGGUGCCCAAGGUGUGAUUAGCGAGGGGGACUAAGUCGUAACAAGGUAGCCGUAUCGGAAGGUGCGGCUGGAUCACCUCCUUUCUA